UUAAAAAGGCCACAUCAGGAGGGCUAUCUAGCCACUAACCGCUCCAGCUGGCUGCAGGAAUGUUGUUGCUUUACCUUUUUGCUUUAGUCUCCUUUUUGUGUGUCUCUAAUGUUUUUGCUUCACGCUUCCUUUUCACGGCUUGACUGGACUCAUCAGACGGUUUCACCUAUCUGAACAUAACCCUCUUACUGGACAGCAAGAUUGAGGGGAUGAUCAGCUGGUGGCACCGGGCCUAACACAGCUCUUACCAAAGCAAGCUUCUGGCGAGUGUGGAUCCCUCUUGGUGGUGGUGUCCCUUUCCAGUGUGACGUGUCAUUUUUUUCCCCUUGGGUUUAUGUUUUUUUUCUUCUCUGUGUAAACGUUGGUGUGGGCCACGGGUGACCUGGUGAUGCUGGGAUGACUUCUCCUUUUAGUUUUCCACUUCCCUCCAGUAAACCUCAGCUGACUUGUAUUCUAAGCUUAAACUUUUGAAAAUUGUUUUAUUAUUAAUUAUAAAUAAACUUUUGUGUGAAUGGAA
Girardinichthys multiradiatus is the source of this 517-nucleotide long non-coding RNA. RefSeq lists it as uncharacterized. The transcript has 2 exons. The record is from RefSeq and is a predicted model, not a curated record. Lineage: Eukaryota; Metazoa; Chordata; Actinopteri; Cyprinodontiformes; Goodeidae.